CCAACCGGGAUUGCCUUAGUAACGGCGAGUGAAGCGGCAAAAGCUCAAAUUUGAAAUCUGGUACCUUCGGUGCCCGAGUUGUAAUUUGGAGAGGGCAACUUUGGGGCCGUUCCUUGUCUAUGUUCCUUGGAACAGGACGUCAUAGAGGGUGAGAAUCCCGUGUGGCGAGGAGUGCGGUUCUUUGUAAAGUGCCUUCGAAGAGUCGAGUUGUUUGGGAAUGCAGCUCUAAGUGGGUGGUAAAUUCCAUCUAAAGCUAAAUAUUGGCGAGAGACCGAUAGCGAACAAGUACAGUGAUGGAAAGAUGAAAAGAACUUUGAAAAGAGAGUGAAAAAGUACGUGAAAUUGUUGAAAGGGAAGGGCAUUUGAUCAGACAUGGUGUUUUGUGCCCUCUGCUCCUUGUGGGUAGGGGAAUCUCGCAUUUCACUGGGCCAGCAUCAGUUUUGGUGGCAGGAUAAAUCCAUAGGAAUGUAGCUUGCCUCGGUAAGUAUUAUAGCCUGUGGGAAUACUGCCAGCUGGGACUGAGGACUGCGACGUAAGUCAAGGAUGCUGGCAUAAUGGUUAUAUGCCGCCCGUCUUGAAACACGGACCUCCUGUGUGAAUUGAAUCCCCCUAAA
This 614-nucleotide ribosomal RNA is filed under the name Saccharomyces cerevisiae (brewer's yeast). Its description in RNAcentral is "eukaryotic LSU rRNA". It matches the Rfam family "Eukaryotic large subunit ribosomal RNA", at positions 65 to 664 of the family's 3401-position model. Lineage: Eukaryota; Fungi; Ascomycota; Saccharomycetes; Saccharomycetales; Saccharomycetaceae. The record is from RNAcentral.